GGGAUGACACAGUAGGAUAAGCUAAGCACACUGUUGGUUAUGUGUGCCCAAGCAUUGAGGCAGUCAAAGUAGGCAAAUCCGCUUUGAUAAUGCUGGGAGGUGAUGGGGAGCGAAAUUUAGUAGCGAAGUAGCUGAUUUCACACUGUCAAGAAAAGUCUCUAUCGAGGUUAAAGGUACCCGUACCGCAAACCGACACAGGUGGGUGAGGAGAGUAUCCUAAGGCCAGCGAGAGAACUGUUGUUAAGGAACUCGGCAAAAUGACCCCGUAACU
RNAcentral lists this ribosomal RNA (271 nucleotides) under Clostridioides difficile. Its description in RNAcentral is "partial 23S ribosomal RNA". It matches the Rfam family "Bacterial large subunit ribosomal RNA", at positions 1466 to 1735 of the family's 2925-position model. The record is from RNAcentral. Lineage: Bacteria; Bacillati; Bacillota; Clostridia; Peptostreptococcales; Peptostreptococcaceae.